AACGAACGCUGGCGGCAUGCCUAACACAUGCAAGUCGAACGAGACCUUCGGGUCUAGUGGCGCACGGGUGUGUAACGCGUGGGAACCUGCCCUUGGGUUCGGAAUAACUCCCCGACAGGGGUGCUAUUACCGGAUAAUGUCUUCGGACCAAUGAUUUAUCGCCCUUGGAUGGGCCCGCGUUGGAUUAGCUAGUUGGUAGGGUAAAAGCCUACCAAGGCGACGAUCCAUAGCUGGUUUGAGAGGCUGAUCAACCACACUGGGACUGAGACACGGCCCCGACUCCUACGGGAGGCAGCAGUGGGGAAUAUUGGACAAUCGGCGAAGGGCUGAUCCAGCAAUGCCGCGUGAGUGAUGAAGGCCUGAGGGUUGUAAAGCUCUUUUACCCGGGAUGAUAAUGACAGUACCGGGAGAAUAAGCUCCGGCUAACUACGUG
Molecule: ribosomal RNA, 433 nt
Filed under: uncultured bacterium
Lineage: Bacteria
Description: partial 16S ribosomal RNA
Rfam family: Bacterial small subunit ribosomal RNA
Source: RNAcentral